Molecule: ribosomal RNA, 471 nt
Filed under: uncultured organism
Description: partial 16S ribosomal RNA
Rfam family: Bacterial small subunit ribosomal RNA
Source: RNAcentral
ACUCCUACGGGAGGCAGCAGUGGGGAAUUUUGGACAAUGGGCGAAAGCCUGAUCCAGCAAUGCCGCGUGAGUGAAGAAGGCCUUCGGGUUGUAAAGCUCUUUUGUCAGGGAAGAAACGGUGAAAGCUAAUAUCUUUUGCUAAUGACGGUACCUGAAGAAUAAGCACCGGCUAACUACGUGCCAGCAGCCGCGGUAAUACGUAGGGUGCAAGCGUUAAUCGGAAUUACUGGGCGUAAAGCGUGCGCAGGCGGUUUUGUAAGUCUGAUGUGAAAUCCCCGGGCUCAACCUGGGAAUUGCAUUGGAGACUGCAAGGCUAGAAUCUGGCAGAGAGGGGUAGAAUUCCACGUGUAGCAGUGAAAUGCGUAGAUAUGUGGAGGAACACCGAUGGCGAAGGCAGCCCCCUGGGUCAAGAUUGACGCUCAUGCACGAAAGCGUGGGGAGCAAACAGGAUUAGAAACCCUAGUAGUCCCA